CCUACGGGGGGCUGCAGUAGGGAAUAUUGCUCAAUGGGGGAAACCCUGAAGCGGCAACGCCGCGUGGAGGAUGAAGGUUUUCGGAUUGUAAAGUCCUUUUGUUAGAGAAGAUAAUGACGGUAUCUAACGAAUAAGAACCGGCUAACUCCGUGUCAGCAGCCGCGGUAAUACGGAGGGUGCAAGCGUUACUCGGAAUCACUGGGCGUAAAGAGCGCUUAGGCGGGAUUGCAAGUCAGGUGUGAAAUCCUAUGGCUUAACCAUAGAACUGCAUUUGAAACUGUUAUUCUAGAGUAUGGGAGAGGUAGGUGGAAUUCUUUGUGUAGGGGUAAAAUCCGUAGAGAUCAAGAAGAAUACUCAUGGCGAAGGCGACCUGCUAGGUCAUAACUGACGCUGAUGCGCGAAAGCGUGGGGAGCAAACAGGAUUAGAUACCCGAGUAGUC
This 440-nucleotide ribosomal RNA is filed under the name uncultured bacterium. Its description in RNAcentral is "partial 16S ribosomal RNA". It matches the Rfam family "Bacterial small subunit ribosomal RNA", at positions 338 to 795 of the family's 1533-position model. The record is from RNAcentral.